CAAGUCGAACGAGAAAGUGGAGCAAUCCAUGAGUAAAGUGGCGUACGGGUGAGUAACACGUGGGUGAUCUACCUCUUAGUGAGGAAUAACCCUGGGAAACCGGGGCUAAUACCGCAUAAGCCUGAGAAGGGAAAGCAGCAAUGCGCUGAGAGAGGAGCCCGCGGCCGAUUAGCUAGUUGGUGGGGUAAGAGCCCACCAAGGCAGAGAUCGGUAGCCGGCCUGAGAGGGCACACGGCCACACUGGCACUGAAACACGGGCCAGACUCCUACGGGAGGCAGCAGUGGGGAAUCUUGCACAAUGGGGGAAACCCUGAUGCAGCGACGCCGCGUGAGCGAUGAAGCCCUUCGGGGUGUAAAGCUCUUUCGUCAGGGAAGAUAGUGACGGUACCUGGAGAAGCAGCUGCGGCUAACUACGUGCCAGCAGCCGCGGUAAUACGUAGGCAGCAAGCGUUGUUCGGAGUUACUGGGCGUAAAGGGUGUGUAGGCGGUUCUUUAAGUUUGGUGUGAAAUCUCCCGGCUCAACCGGGAGGGUGCGCCGAAUACUGUGGGACUAGAGUGCGGGAGAGGAAAGUGGAAUUCCUGGUGUAGCGGUGAAAUGCGUAGAUAUCAGGAGGAACACCGGUGGUGUAGACGGCUUUCUGGACCGUAACUGACGCUGAGACACGAAAGCGUGGGUAGCAAACAGGAUUAGAUACCCUGGUAGUCCACGCCCUAAACGAUGCAUAUUUGGUGUGGGUCAUUCAGUUGAUCCGUGCCGGAGCUAACGCGUUAAAUAUGCCGCCUGGGGAGUACAGUCGCAAGGCUGAAACUCAAAGGAAUUGACGGGGGCCCGCACAAGCGGUGGAGCAUGUGGUUCAAUUCGACGCAACGCGAAGAACUUUACCUGGGCUCGAACGGCUUCUCAACGCCGGUAGAAAUACC
This 921-nucleotide ribosomal RNA is filed under the name uncultured Bacillota bacterium. RNAcentral describes it as "bacterial SSU rRNA". It matches the Rfam family "Bacterial small subunit ribosomal RNA", at positions 58 to 1010 of the family's 1533-position model. The record is from RNAcentral. Lineage: Bacteria; Bacillati; Bacillota.